CUUCAGGGUAGGGUGCAAGUCCCAACCGGCGGUAUACCCCGCGAGCCUUUGGGCAUGAAUCGGUGCAAUUCCGAUGGCGACAGUAAAGUCUGGAUGAAAGAAGUU
RNAcentral lists this non-coding RNA (105 nucleotides) under Dielma fastidiosa. RNAcentral describes it as "FMN riboswitch (RFN element)". It matches the Rfam family "FMN riboswitch aptamer (RFN element)". Rfam says of the family: The RFN element is a highly conserved domain that is found frequently in the 5'-untranslated regions of prokaryotic mRNAs that encode for flavin mononucleotide (FMN) biosynthesis and transport proteins. This element is a metabolite-dependent riboswitch that directly binds FMN in the absence of proteins. The record is from RNAcentral. Lineage: Bacteria; Bacillati; Bacillota; Erysipelotrichia; Erysipelotrichales; Erysipelotrichaceae.